Molecule: long non-coding RNA, 318 nt
Organism: Saccoglossus kowalevskii
Lineage: Eukaryota; Metazoa; Hemichordata; Enteropneusta; Harrimaniidae
Source: RefSeq, a predicted model, not a curated record
UUAUUGUUUACAGACAAGCAGGACAGAACACUGCUGAUGAUUUGCGUGACCGUGACUUCCGUAAAGAUCUUGAUGAAAGGGAAAGAACUGCAGCAAGAGAAAAGCGAGGUGAUCGAGGCAGGGGAGAAUCAUCAGCGGGUUCGAAACGUCCUCGCAUUGAACAAAUACCUGCUGCAAAUCUAGAUGCCGACGAUCCUAUUGAAGAUGAUGAUGAUGAUGACCUGUCAGAUAGUGAUGAUGAUGAUGAUGACACAGCAGAAUUGUUAGCUGAAUUGAACAAGAUCAAAAAAGAAAGAGCAAGUGAACAAGCAAGACGGG